CCCCCUGACCAGUGAGGAUGCCCCCUCCCAUCUAGGGUACUCUGUGUCUAGGGAUGAAUUCCAGUGUCAUUUUCCUCUCUUCUGUAGGUUUAUUUAUGGAAGAUUGGACCUGUUCAUACAUCUGUGGGGCAGCCCUCCAUCUCCCAGCUAUAUAAAGUCUCUAACCACAGUGUUGCAUUGUGGGGUUACCAUGUGGUCUGACACUUCCUUGCAUGAACUACCCUCACUCCAGCCCUGGACAGUCCAGGGCCUAGCAGGCAGUGUGUGGGGCCUACCAGGUCCUGGCAUCCAAGCUGUGUCCAAUAAAGUUCUUAGAUGUGACUGGAAAAAAAAUUGGAUUAAAAAAAAACUUCAGAAGUUACAGAGCCAACUACAGAGAAGCAUAAUAAAUGAAAGAGUGUC
This 402-nucleotide small RNA is filed under the name Pan troglodytes (chimpanzee). RNAcentral describes it as "retained intron". Lineage: Eukaryota; Metazoa; Chordata; Mammalia; Primates; Hominidae. The record is from RNAcentral.